Molecule: transfer RNA, 71 nt
Filed under: Coryphaenoides armatus
Lineage: Eukaryota; Metazoa; Chordata; Actinopteri; Gadiformes; Macrouridae
Description: tRNA-Gln
Rfam family: tRNA
About the family: Transfer RNA (tRNA) molecules are approximately 80 nucleotides in length. Their secondary structure includes four short double-helical elements and three loops (D, anti-codon, and T loops). Further hydrogen bonds mediate the characteristic L-shaped molecular structure. tRNAs have two regions of fundamental functional importance: the anti-codon, which is responsible for specific mRNA codon recognition, and the 3' end, to which the tRNAs corresponding amino acid is attached (by aminoacyl-tRNA synthetases). tRNAs cope with the degeneracy of the genetic code in two manners: having more than one tRNA (with a specific anti-codon) for a particular amino acid; and 'wobble' base-pairing, i.e. permitting non-standard base-pairing at the 3rd anti-codon position.
Source: RNAcentral
UAGAGAGUGGUGUAGUGGGAGCACUUAGAGUUUUGAGCUCUAAAGUAGGGGUUCGAGCCCCCUUUCUCUAA